UUCAGGCAACUGUGACUACCUAUACUUCAACUAUAGGCACAAGGGCAUAGCGAGCAGCCAAGCACAAAAGAGGAAUUGCAUGCGUCUCCAUGAAGAAUGAAGUCUAGGGUUAGAAAGAAGAGUGGUGUGAGAGCAUUGUGUGAAAAAAGAAAAAGAAAGAAAGGAAUGCAACUGAAAUUUGCAAGACAAAAGGCCAAAAGGUUUAGACAAGCAAAAAAAGAAAGAUAUGAAAGUUGGAAGAAAUAAAGUCACUUUAAUCAGUGAUCUCGGGUUUGAAUAUCGCCUACAGAGUCGUCUUUGAUAGAGUGCAACCCCCUU
RNAcentral lists this long non-coding RNA (318 nucleotides) under Solanum tuberosum (potato). RNAcentral describes it as "long non-coding RNA (STUB_LNC008532)". The record is from RNAcentral. Lineage: Eukaryota; Viridiplantae; Streptophyta; Magnoliopsida; Solanales; Solanaceae.